UUAUUUCAUAUAAGGUUGUACUAUCUACAUAUCCUUUUUUACUUCACAUACACUUUCUUAAUUUUCAGCCGUCGAAUCGGUUUCGAGAGCAUUCCACCAGUUUUUGGCCACUAUCACUUUCAAGGCCCAGAUCAACUUAUCCAAGAUACUUCUUGACACACCCCGUCUCGAAGGAGGGCAUGUUGGCCGUCACGUGAGAGUGACGUAACCAUUUACACAGUUCGGAAGCUUUAAAAAUACAAUUACUAAGAUGAAACACCCGAGGGUGAGUCCUACUUUUGUGAAUUUUGUCAGAACACCGUUGGAUUCCUCGUGGCCACCAAAGCUCAGCUAUCUAGAACCUGGAGGGGCGCAAAACAAAAUUGAGUGGGUCAGUAAAACAAAGUUUUUCGAAAACUUUUCAUUUAAAACAUUUUUAACCCCUCGCUGUAAAACCUGUAUACUUUCCCAGAAAAUAGCAUAAUAGCAUAAUACUUUUCAUAAAUCUCAAAUCAUCAAUUUUUCUCAAAAACCAGAAAGUAUGCCAUGUUAUAAUUUCAAAAACAGAAUGAAUGAUGCAUCAAUGUAACAGGUGAAAUGGUGAAUUAACCGGAGACCCUGCAGUUGGUCCUGUACGGUUAAUUCUAUAGCUCAACAUCCAAUCCAACCGGAGUCACCUCGGUGACCUGUGCGGCACUACACUGCAUAUAAGUCGGAACUACCUGAAGUAGUCUGUACGACAUGAAUGGUGUAAUAAUACGCUCUAGUGCUUCUCUCAUCAAUCAUCUGUGCACAUAAUCUAAGGUCACCUAUCAGUCGGAACCCUCUCAUGGUCUGUAUGACAUGUCGGAACCCUCUCAUGGUCUGUACGACAUGCACCUAUUUGGAUCCAAGGUGAGCGUGCGGUGCAAGGUGAAUAAUAUAAGCACUAACACCAUGAUUGCAGGUUAUGAGCUAUCAACAUAAUAUACAUUAUCAAUGAUUCACAUGAAUAAUAUAAAACUCACCUGAUACUUACCUGUGCGUCCACAACACCAAUUCACACACACACAUAUAUAUAUGCAUCAAUUAUCAAUUCAUAUAACUCAUAUCAUUCAUAUUAUGCAUGCAUGGCAUUUUAGAAACAUACUUUCAUUAAAACUCAAUUUCUGGGAAAAUUCAUAGUAUAUAGGUAUAAAUAGAAAGUACUGCCCACUCACCUGGAGUUCGCCCAACAACUCCCUAGCACAACAUAUCAAGGCGUCAUGAUGAUCGGCGCCUAGAACAAUAAUCAAAUCUAACCUCAGAAAUCAUAUCGAUAGAAUAUAACUUAUAUAAAACACAUCACUACGCAGUUCAAUCCGGAAGAUCUGCAACUCAUAUUUCAAAUCCAUAACUUCCAGAGGUCCACAAUAUACCUCUAGGACAACAUCCUAAAAUUUCAUUACCAUCCAACGGUCGGAUCUCCGUCAAUUUCCAAAAUCAAGUGACGGUUAACAUUCUAUUUUAUGAACUUACAACUCCAAUUCAGGAAGAUCCGUAAAUCGGAUUCCCAAUCCAUAAGUUCCUAUAAUCCUCAAAUAUUACGUAUUACAACGUAUCAAAGUUUGGUGACGAUCCAACGGUCGGAUCGUCAAUUCAUAUUUUCACCUAACCACGAAUCGUAACGAGCUUAGGUUCAAUUAUUCAAUUUACGUCCAUCAAUUAUCAAAACUGAACCUAGAACCUUAAACACAUGCUAAGAAUGACAUUGGCGGGCCAUUGGCCACGCGCCGCCGCACGGGCCGCCGCGGGUGGCGGUUGGCCGCCCCGGCUCGCCGGAAAAUCCAACUAUUUCCAAAAAUUCUCAAAAAAUACAGAAUUUAAGAUCUCAAUGAGUAGAGCAAACUUUAUACCUGUGGCCAAGGCCAAUUUGGCCUGGAAGAGCUCCAAUUUCACCAAAACCGUGAAGAACCCUAGAAUUGGGUGUUUUCAAUUUGACCUUCAAAUCAAUACCGCCGUCCCAACCAAUGCUUGGGCUUUGUUCCAGGUCCUAGGGGAAUGCUAAUGGUGUUAGUAAUUGAAAGAAAACAUUUCAAGAUUUGAACAAUUUGAACAAAAAGUCGCAGCACCCACGGGUGCGGUUUUCACCAAAUCACCAUCAAAUUUCAUGAUUUUUGGGUUGAAACAUGAAGAGGGAAGGCCUAGGUGUUGAUUGGGAGUGGUACCUUGAUCCAAUUCGUGACAAAUCCGGUGAAAAUCGUCGGAAAAAUGGAGGUGGGUGCGCGGGUAAACGGGUUGGGGGAAAACCCGUUUCCUUCCUUCUCUCCUCCGCUUCUCGCCCUCUCUCCUUUCCUCCUUUCUUCUCCCUCUGAUUGGUCCUCCACUUUCUCUUCUGUCUGGUUGACCCAACUCCUCCCUCUCUCCUGUUCUAAUUGGGCACCUUUGCCUAAUCCUCCAUCUUCUUCUUCU
RNAcentral lists this long non-coding RNA (2409 nucleotides) under Malus domestica (apple). Its description in RNAcentral is "long non-coding RNA (MDOM_LNC005350)". The record is from RNAcentral. Lineage: Eukaryota; Viridiplantae; Streptophyta; Magnoliopsida; Rosales; Rosaceae.